RNAcentral lists this long non-coding RNA (271 nucleotides) under Panax ginseng (ginseng). Its description in RNAcentral is "long non-coding RNA (PGIN_LNC016676)". Lineage: Eukaryota; Viridiplantae; Streptophyta; Magnoliopsida; Apiales; Araliaceae. The record is from RNAcentral.
GUGCUCUCGUGAACACUUUUAGAAGGACCUAGACGAUCCUUCACCGAAACACGAGGCAGUGACGAGCUAACAGCCAUCGCCUGCCCUUCUGGCGUACCAUCCCUACUCCUCAUCAUCUUUCGAAGUAGGUUAAACGAUUGUGAUUGAAAAUUUUAAUGACACUAGAACUCAAACCCCUCCUUCUAGCGCCAAUGUUAACGCCAGGAUCUUCUACCACGCCCCAAUCACGUAAGACGUCCUGAUCCUGCACAGUAAACACGGUAAACACCAC